GACGAACGCUGGCGGCGUGCUUAACACAUGCAAGUCGAACGGAAAGGCCCGGCUUUUGUGGGGUGCUCGAGUGGCGAACGGGUGAGUAACACGUGAGUAACCUGCCCUUGACUUUGGGAUAACUUCAGGAAACUGGGGCUAAUACCGGAUAGGAGCUCCUGCUGCAUGGUGGUGGUUGGUAAGUUUCGGCGGUUGGGGAUGGUCUCGCGGCUUAUCAGCUUGUUGGUGGGGUAGGUGCUUACCAAGGCUGUGACGGGUAGCCGGCCUGAGAGGGUUACCGGCCACAUUGGGACUGAGAUACGGCCCAGACUCCUACGGGAGGCAGCAGUGGGGAAUAUUGCACAAUGGGCGGAAGCCUGAUGCAGCAACGCCGCGUGCGGGAUGACGGCCUUCGGGUUGUAAACCGCUUUCGCCUGUGACGAAGCGUGAGUGACGGUAAUGGGUAAAGAAGCACCGGCUAACUACGUG
This 468-nucleotide ribosomal RNA is filed under the name uncultured bacterium. RNAcentral describes it as "partial 16S ribosomal RNA". It matches the Rfam family "Bacterial small subunit ribosomal RNA", at positions 28 to 507 of the family's 1533-position model. The record is from RNAcentral.